Molecule: long non-coding RNA, 626 nt
Filed under: Salmo trutta (river trout)
Lineage: Eukaryota; Metazoa; Chordata; Actinopteri; Salmoniformes; Salmonidae
Description: lncRNA (ENSSTUG00000043605.1)
Source: RNAcentral
UAACCAGUUCGCAUGUCUGACAUUUCAGAGUUUCCUAGUCCGACUAGCACUUGAACACGGCAUAUCACUGCCACGUGUUUACUGUUUAACAGCAAGGCACAUUCUUCUUCUUCUUUCUUAGGUCGAAAUGGCAGGAAAAUGAGUCGAGAGACGCUUAGCGCCAUAUAUUGUUGAGUUUGAGAACUUAAAAGCAAGUGACCACACCAGCACCUGUUACUUUGUGAUUGCUGCCCCGCCCACUCUUUGACUGGAAGGAGAGCGAGUGCGUGAAUUUGUUUGUGCCAUUUCUUUGGUUCUUUUCUCCCAAAUCCUGGGGGACAAUCAUCGUUGCAACAUGGUUUGGUUUCUGAUUUUCAUCUGGUUUGUCCAAGUGGGCAGUGUUCCCAUCGCCAAUUUCCCAAAUUCUACUACUUCAAAUUCUACUUUCCCUGCCACAGUGGACAACUCUACAAACCCCAUCAACAAUUCUACAAAUGUGACUUUCUCUGCCACAGGUUCUACUGCCUCGAUGGGGCCACGUCACAGACAAAAUGAUUGGUUUAAAACACCUGAAACCAGAGAAGGUAACUCAUUCAUUAGAUGAAGCGCGCAAUCCUGGACCUCUAUCAUGAGGUCUGGACUUAAAU